CCUACGGGUGGCAGCAGUGGGGAAUAUUGGACAAUGGGGGCAACCCUGAUCCAGCCAUGCCGCGUGUGUGAAGAAGGCCCUCGGGUUGUAAAGCACUUUCAGUGAGGAAGAACGCCUGGUGGUUAAUACCCAUCAGGAAAGACAUCACUCACAGAAGAAGCACCGGCUAACUCCGUGCCAGCAGCCGCGGUAAUACGGAGGGUGCGAGCGUUAAUCGGAAUUACUGGGCGUAAAGCGCGCGUAGGUGGCUUGAUAAGCCGGUUGUGAAAGCCCCGGGCUCAACCUGGGAACGGCAUCCGGAACUGUCAAGCUAGAGUGCAGGAGAGGAAGGUAGAAUUCCCGGUGUAGCGGUGAAAUGCGUAGAGAUCGGGAGGAAUACCAGUGGCGAAGGCGGCCUUCUGGACUGACACCGACACUGAGGUGCGAAAGCGUGGGUAGCAAACAGGAUUAGAUACCCUUGUAGUC
RNAcentral lists this ribosomal RNA (465 nucleotides) under Vreelandella stevensii. RNAcentral's name for it is "partial 16S ribosomal RNA". It matches the Rfam family "Bacterial small subunit ribosomal RNA", at positions 338 to 795 of the family's 1533-position model. The record is from RNAcentral. Lineage: Bacteria; Pseudomonadati; Pseudomonadota; Gammaproteobacteria; Oceanospirillales; Halomonadaceae.